GGACGGUAAACGCCCCUUCGGGGGCGUGAGAGUGGCGGACGGGUGCGUAACGCGUAUGCAACCAACCCCCCGCGGGCGGACAGCCGGUGGAAACGCCGGAUGAUACGCCAUGUGGCCGUCCCGGGGCAUCCCGGGGGGGCCAAAGCGGAGACGCGGCGGGGGACGGGCAUGCGUCCCAUUAGAUGGUAGGCGGGGUGACGGCCCACCUAGUCGGCGAUGGGUAGGGGAUCUGAGAGGACGGUCCCCCACACUGGUACUGAGACACGGACCAGACUCCUGCGGGAGGCAGCAGUAAGGGAUAUUGGGCAAUGGGGGGAACCCUGACCCAGCCAUGCCGCGUGAGGGAAUGAGGCCCUACGGGUCGUGAACCUCUUUUAUUCGGGGACAAGGGCGCGGUCGCGAACCGAGCUUGAGGGUACCGAAGGAAUAAGCGUCGGCUAACUCCGUGCCAG
This 452-nucleotide ribosomal RNA is filed under the name uncultured rumen bacterium. Its description in RNAcentral is "partial 16S ribosomal RNA". It matches the Rfam family "Bacterial small subunit ribosomal RNA", at positions 64 to 511 of the family's 1533-position model. The record is from RNAcentral.